GACAGAGGUGCCAAGCGUUAGGCGGAAUCACUGGGCUUAAAGCGUGUGUAGGUGGAAGCGUAAGUACCUUGUGAAAUCCCACGGCUCAACCGUGGAACGGCUGGGUAUACUGCCUGUCUUGAGCCAACUAGGGGCGAGCGGAACAGACGGUGGAGCGGUGAAAUGCGUAGAUAUCGUCUGGAACGCCAAAGGUGAAAACAGCUCGCUGGGGUUGUGCUGACGCUGAGACACGAAAGCCAGGGGAGCGAACGGG
RNAcentral lists this ribosomal RNA (253 nucleotides) under uncultured bacterium. Its description in RNAcentral is "partial 16S ribosomal RNA". It matches the Rfam family "Bacterial small subunit ribosomal RNA", at positions 524 to 776 of the family's 1533-position model. The record is from RNAcentral.